Molecule: long non-coding RNA, 1642 nt
Organism: Frankliniella occidentalis (western flower thrips)
Lineage: Eukaryota; Metazoa; Arthropoda; Insecta; Thysanoptera; Thripidae
Exons: 4
Source: RefSeq, a predicted model, not a curated record
AAUGCCAUGGACAUUUUUGUAACUUGCUCCGUACAAAUUUGUAACUGAGCUCUGGACUUCUGUACGCGUAACUUGCCAGUUACAAAAUUGUCCAAUUUUAUGGACAACUGUACGUGUGAAGCCAAUGGACAAAUUUGUGGUCAGCAAUGGACAAAAUUGUAACUGAUUAGAGCACAAUUUGGGACUUUGGAUUGCACCCCUAACGUCCAUACCCUGGGGACAAUUUGUCUGUAACCCUGGUUACUUUUCUUUGCGGAAAAUAAUUCAGCGGCUUCCGAAAGGAAAAUGGCAUAUAUUACUGCGAAAAAGGUCCCCAUAAUCAAAAACAUUUGGGUCCAAAGGAAUAUGGUGGCCAUAUAUAUUCAAGCAGCAGGCUACAAUAAUAACAUUAUUUACCAUGAUUGUGUACAUAAAUGGAGUUGUUAAAAGAUUGAUUUUGAACUGUCAUGGCCCGUUAAAAACAGUUGGGUGACUGUUCAAGCAUACACUGCUAAAAGCAAAGGUUUAUACAGUAAGCCUAAACAUAUUUUGGAUAGACACUUAUUGUUAACAUACCUUGACAAGAGUUAAAUAGGCUGAUAAUUAGGAUAUUUUCCUUUUUCUGUUGUAUCAGGCAGAUGAUUGUGUAUCUCUUCUAUUUAAAACUACACAGUUUUGAUCACUACUCAACCAUACAGAAAAGGGUUAGGGAUGGACUUCUUGCCAUCUCAAACAAUCGGUUAUAAACUGUCUUGCUCGGACUACGCCAUGAUCCCGUCAACUGCAUUCUUUUGCCGAGUCACAAAUUACUACGGAACGAAUGUCAACAAUCCAAUUUCACUUGGAAGACGAUGAAAUAUUUAUAAUUAUUUUUUGUACAAAUAAACAACAACUGACAACUUAAAACAACGACGAACUGCGUUGUUCGCAGACAGCACAGCUGAGUGUCAUCUGUGCAUCUGCCAUUACCUCCUCGACCUCCUCUUUCCCCUCUCCCCUCCACUUCUGCUGGACAGUUGUUUUUGUUGUGCCAAGCAUGAGAUAGACGUUGAAAAAAGUUCGCCUUUCUUCGUCUAGCUGACUUGCCCGUUGUAUUUAGCCUCUUAAAAUUGAUAUGAAAACCACACCUUCUUAGCGUAUCUGGUUUCUGCUUGGUUCGUGCAGCUACUUCGUAUAUUUUUUUUCUCCAGGUAUGUAUGGGGGCUGCACUUUGUCAUCAAUAGAUAUCCUCAGCUCUGCCAAUGCCGACAGAAGUUUGUUCACGAGCUUUUUGCAGUUUCAGGACUAGUGAGGCCAUGUUGCACUAGGUCUGGUCUUCACCUUAUGACGUAUUUACCUGCUUUCUGGCCUGAAGGAACCCUUUACAAAGAAGCAAAAGGUGGUGGACUUUUAUCUGAUGCCACUUGAAACUAUCACUUUAAGCCAGCUGAACCAGAACUGCAUCUGUACUGUAUAGCUACACUUGCCAAUUUCAAAUCAAUAUAAUUUGCAAUUUUGUACCUGUGUGCUAAUUGAACAUUACUGAAUUCCAAAAUGUCAUAAGUUAAGUACCACUGUUGCCAAAUAUUUUUUAAACAGAAGGCUACUUAGUUUUCUUAACUUUCAAAAUGAACUGCAUGUUUGGAUCGAUUUAGUUUCCACAAUAAAAGACCAAUGUAGAGGA